ACGAACGCUGGCGGUGCGCCUAAUGCAUGCAAGUUGGACGGUCUUUCCGGCGCAAGUUGGAAAGAUAGUGGCAAACGGCUGAGUAACACGUGAGUGACCUACCCCGAAGAGGGGACCAAGCUCGAGAAAUCGGGUCUAAUACCCCGUACGCUUCCAGGGUCACGGCCCUGGAUGGAAAUGGCCCGCAAGGGUUGCUUUGGGAGGGGCUCACGUCCUAUCAGGUAGUUGGUGGGGUAACGGCCUACCAAGCCGAAGACGGGUAACCGGUGUGAGAGCACGAACGGUCAGAGGGGGACUGAGAUACGGCCCCCACUCCUACGGGAGGCAGCAGCAGGGAAUCUUGCGCAAUGGGCCUAACGGCCUGACGCAGCGACACCGCGUGAGGGAAGAAGGCCUUCGGGUUGUAAACCUCUUUUCCCAGGGAAGAGUGAGGACGGUACCUGGGGAAUAAGCCUCGGCUAACUACGU
RNAcentral lists this ribosomal RNA (468 nucleotides) under uncultured bacterium. Its description in RNAcentral is "bacterial SSU rRNA". It matches the Rfam family "Bacterial small subunit ribosomal RNA", at positions 29 to 506 of the family's 1533-position model. The record is from RNAcentral.